GAGGAAUAAGCAUCGGCUAACUCCGUGCCAGCAGCCGCGGUAAUACGGGGGAUGCGAGCGUUAUCCGGAAUCAUUGGGCGUAAAGCGCCUGUAGGUUGUUUAAUAAGUCUGUUGUUAAAGACUAGGGCUUAACCCUAGAAAAGCAAUGGAAACUACUAGACUAGAGUAUGGCAGGGGUAGAGGGAAUUUCUAGUGUAGCGGUGAAAUGCGUAGAUAUUAGAAAGAACACCGGUGGCGAAAGCGCUCUACUGGACCAUUACUGACACUCAGAGGCGAAAGCUAGGGUAGCAAAAGGGAUUAGAUACCCCUGUAGUCCUAGCCGUGAACGAUGGAUACUACAUGUUGUGCAUUAUGUACAGUAUGGUAGCUAACGCGUUAAGUAUCCCGCCUGGCGAGUACGCUCGCAAGGGUGAAACUCACAGGAAUUGACGGGGGCCCGCACAAGCGGUGGAGCAUGUGGUUUAAUUCGAUGCAACGCGAAGAACCUUACCAGGACUUGACAUACUACAAAUUCUUUUGAGAAAAAGAAGUGCCUUCGGGAAUGUAGAUACAGGUGGUGCAUGGCUGUCGUCAGCUCGUGUCGUGAGAUGUUGGGUUAAGUCCCGCAACGAGCGCAACCCUUAUUUUUAGUUACCAAUUCGUUGGGUUCUCUAGAAAGACUGCCGGUGACAAACCGGAGGAAGGUGAGGAUGACGUCAAGUCAGCAUGCCCCUUAUGUCCUGGGCUACACACGUGCUACAAUGGUUAAGACAAAGAGUCGCGAGCUCGUGAGAGUCAGCUAAUCUCAUAAACUUAGCCCAAGUUCAGAUUGUAGGCUGCAACUUGCCUACUUGA
Molecule: ribosomal RNA, 834 nt
Filed under: uncultured marine bacterium
Lineage: Bacteria
Description: bacterial SSU rRNA
Rfam family: Bacterial small subunit ribosomal RNA
Source: RNAcentral